GGGCGCGUGGUGCAAUGGUUAGCAUGUCUUCUUCCGGCGGAGAUGGUUGCGGGUUCGAGUCCCGCCGUGCUCU
Pichia membranifaciens NRRL Y-2026 is the source of this 73-nucleotide transfer RNA. It matches the Rfam family "tRNA". From Rfam's summary of the family: Transfer RNA (tRNA) molecules are approximately 80 nucleotides in length. Their secondary structure includes four short double-helical elements and three loops (D, anti-codon, and T loops). The record is from Rfam. NCBI's taxonomy places the organism in Eukaryota, Fungi, Ascomycota, Pichiomycetes, Pichiales, Pichiaceae.